This 66-nucleotide small RNA is filed under the name Plasmodium falciparum 3D7. Its description in RNAcentral is "Pfa-npcR6097". Lineage: Eukaryota; Apicomplexa; Aconoidasida; Haemosporida; Plasmodiidae. The record is from RNAcentral.
UUUUUCUUUUUUCUUUUUUUUUUUUACUCAAUAAAAAAAAAUUAUAUAUAUACACAUGUGGCGAGG